RNAcentral lists this ribosomal RNA (683 nucleotides) under uncultured Bacilli bacterium. RNAcentral's name for it is "bacterial SSU rRNA". It matches the Rfam family "Bacterial small subunit ribosomal RNA", at positions 64 to 718 of the family's 1533-position model. Lineage: Bacteria; Bacillati; Bacillota; Bacilli. The record is from RNAcentral.
GAACGCUUCUUUCCUCCCGAGUGCUUGCACUCAACUGGAAAGAGGAGUGGCGGACGGGUGAGUAACACGUGGGUAACCUACCCAUCAGAGGGGGAUAACACUUGGAAACAGGUGCUAAUACCGCAUAACAGUUUAUGCCGCAUGGCAUAAGAGUGAAAGGCGCUUUCGGGUGUCGCUGAUGGAUGGACCCGCGGUGCAUUAGCCAGUUGGUGAGGUAACGGCUCACCAAGGCCACGAUGCAUAGCCGACCUGAGAGGGUGAUCGGCCACACUGGGACUGAGACACGGCCCAGACUCCUACGGGAGGCAGCAGUAGGGAAUCUUCGGCAAUGGACGAAAGUCUGACCGAGCAACGCCGCGUGAGUGAAGAAGGUUUUCGGAUCGUAAAACUCUGUUGUUAGAGAAGAACAAGGACGUUAGUAACUGAACGUCCCCUGACGGUAUCUAACCAGAAAGCCACGGCUAACUACGUGCCAGCAGCCGCGGUAAUACGUAGGUGGCAAGCGUUGUCCAGAUUUAUUGGGCGUAAAGCGAGCGCAGGCGGUUUCUUAAGUCUGAUGUGAAAGCCCCCGGCUCAACCGGGGAGGGUCAUUGGAAACUGGGAGACUUGAGUGCAGAAGAGGAGAGUGGAAUUCCAUGUGUAGCGGUGAAAUGCGUAGAUAUAUGGAGGAACACCAGUGGCGA